AUUGAACGCUGGCGGCAUGCUUUACACAUGCAAGUCGAACGGUAACAGGCCGCAAGGUGCUGACGAGUGGCGAACGGGUGAGUAAUGUAUCGGAACGUGCCCAGUCGUGGGGGAUAACGCAGCGAAAGCUGUGCUAAUACCGCAUACGAUCUAUGGAUGAAAGCGGGGGACCGUAAGGCCUCGCGCGAUUGGAGCGGCCGAUAUCAGAUUAGGUAGUUGGUGGGGUAAAGGCCUACCAAGCCGACGAUCUGUAGCUGGUCUGAGAGGACGACCAGCCACACUGGGACUGAGACACGGCCCAGACUCCUACGGGAGGCAGCAGUGGGGAAUUUUGGACAAUGGGCGCAAGCCUGAUCCAGCAAUGCCGCGUGCAGGAC
This 377-nucleotide ribosomal RNA is filed under the name uncultured bacterium. RNAcentral describes it as "bacterial SSU rRNA". It matches the Rfam family "Bacterial small subunit ribosomal RNA", at positions 30 to 409 of the family's 1533-position model. The record is from RNAcentral.